Non-coding RNA from Rattus norvegicus (Norway rat), 70 nucleotides. The record is from Rfam. NCBI's taxonomy places the organism in Eukaryota, Metazoa, Chordata, Mammalia, Rodentia, Muridae.
GGGGAUUUAGCUCAGUGGUAGAGCGCUUGCCUAGCUAGCGCAAGGCCCUGGGUUCGGUCCCCAGCUCCCA